This 360-nucleotide ribosomal RNA is filed under the name uncultured bacterium. RNAcentral's name for it is "bacterial SSU rRNA". It matches the Rfam family "Bacterial small subunit ribosomal RNA", at positions 29 to 414 of the family's 1533-position model. The record is from RNAcentral.
AACGAACGCUGGCGGCAUGCCUAACACAUGCAAGUCGAACGAGACCUUCGGGUCUAGUGGCGCACGGGUGCGUAACGCGUGGGAAUCUGCCCUUGGGUUCGGAAUAACAGUUAGAAAUGACUGCUAAUACCGGAUGAUGUCUUCGGACCAAAGAUUUAUCGCCCAAGGAUGAGCCCGCGUAAGAUUAGCUAGUUGGUGAGGUAAUGGCUCACCAAGGCGACGAUCUAGUCUGGUCUGAGAGGAUGAUCAGCCACACUGGGACUGAGACACGGCCCAGACUCCUACGGGAGGGCAGCAGUGGGGAAGUAUUGGACAAUGGGCGGAAAGCCUGAUCCAGCAAUGCCGCGUGAGUGAUGAAGG